RNAcentral lists this ribosomal RNA (445 nucleotides) under uncultured bacterium. Its description in RNAcentral is "partial 16S ribosomal RNA". It matches the Rfam family "Bacterial small subunit ribosomal RNA", at positions 354 to 796 of the family's 1533-position model. The record is from RNAcentral.
GUGAGGAAUAUUGGUCAAUGGGCGGGAGCCUGAACCAGCCAAGUCGCGUGAAGGAAGAAGGAUCUAUGGUUCGUAAACUUCUUUUGCAGGGGAAUAAAGUGCAGGACGUGUCCUGUUUUGUAUGUACCCUGAGAAUAAGGAUCGGCUAACUCCGUGCCAGCAGCCGCGGUAAUACGGAGGAUCCGAGCGUUAUCCGGAUUUAUUGGGUUUAAAGGGUGCGUAGGUGGUUUGAUAAGUCAGCGGUGAAAGUUUGCAGCUUAACUGUAAAAAUGCCGUUGAAACUGUCGGACUUGAGUGUAAAUGAGGUAGGCGGAAUGCGUGGUGUAGUGGUGAAAUGCAUAGAUAUCACGCAGAACUCCGAUUGCGAAGGCAGCUUACUAAGCUACAACUGACACUGAAGCACGAAAGCGUGGGGAUCAAACAGGAUUAGAUACCCGGGUAGUCC